This 77-nucleotide transfer RNA is filed under the name Escherichia coli. RNAcentral's name for it is "tRNA-Arg". It matches the Rfam family "tRNA". Rfam says of the family: Transfer RNA (tRNA) molecules are approximately 80 nucleotides in length. Their secondary structure includes four short double-helical elements and three loops (D, anti-codon, and T loops). Lineage: Bacteria; Pseudomonadati; Pseudomonadota; Gammaproteobacteria; Enterobacterales; Enterobacteriaceae. The record is from RNAcentral. RNAcentral also lists the same sequence under 1 other name.
GCGCCCUUAGCUCAGUUGGAUAGAGCAACGACCUUCUAAGCCGUGGGCCGCAGGUUCGAAUCCUGCAGGGCGCGCCA